This is a long non-coding RNA of Mandrillus leucophaeus (drill), 1883 nucleotides long. RefSeq lists it as uncharacterized. The transcript has 2 exons. The record is from RefSeq and is a predicted model, not a curated record. NCBI's taxonomy places the organism in Eukaryota, Metazoa, Chordata, Mammalia, Primates, Cercopithecidae.
GUGGGGUCUUUGUAUGGCAGCAGCAUUUCAAGGCGGGCUGAUCCUUCUUCUCUGGGGAAGCCAGAGCUGGGCAGGUGCCUGAGCCUCGUGAGGGUCUCGGACUGGAUGCUGGGCCCUGUACUCCCCCUGCCUUGGGCUUGGAGAUGCUCACAGGUGAGUUCUCAUUUUUGAAGAGCUCUGUCUUCCUAGGAAGCAGAGAUCCCUCACCUGGGAACCAAGCGUCCCGCUGGAGUUGCUCCAUGCCCAGGCCCAGGUCUCCUGGUCUGCAGGACACGGCACAAGGAGGCUGGCCUAGGCCAGGCCAAGUGUCCCUGGAGGAUGUACUCUGUCCCAGAAGGGGCCUGACCUGCUUGCUGACCCCGCUUGCUGCUGCCUGGCUGACCUGACUCAGCCACAGCUGUUCUGAGGGCCCUUCUGAGUACGAACUCCCAGUUGGAGGUUCUGGGUGAAGACCAGAUAGCUUGAGAUAGCAGCCUCUGGCUGGGCCCUUGGCGUCGCCAAGCCAGUCAGGCAGGUGUAGAGCCUGAUGCCCCUAGACAGGUCCUGCAACCAAGAACAGGGGUAGCCUUCAAAGGCCAGCCCUGCCUUCCAACCACCGCUCCACAACGAGGGAAACCCAGGCUCUAAAAGCAGGAGGUUUGUCCAAGAUUAGCACCUGCGUGCUCCAGGCUCCGAGUUCUGUCCCCUCAGCUGUCUGGCCCCUGGGUGCUUGCUUUCAUUUCAAGUCACUCAUCUUGCUAUUAAACAUGAGCCCAGAAAUAUUGUUGUAAUGGAGAACGAGGCCUGAGAGUCCCUCAGAGUGGUUGCAUGAAAUCUCCCCUGCUCAGAACCACCCAGUCGAAUUCAUGGUGCUCCAUGUGGCCUGCAGGACGGCUGGUUAGAGCCGGCAGAGGUUUAUUUAUAGCCGGGCUCCUGGCUGCCUGGUAACGGGCCACUGCCACCUUUAAAGAAUCUUGGGAUAUUAUCUACCUCUAUUCAGCUUGAAAUCCGGCAUGCGGUGCCUUCGGCUGGCGCUGGUGAUAAUUAAACUGUCAUCAUGCACAAUUAUGGAUGCAAAUAAUAAAUGUCAUCCCACUGGCGUGUGAGGAUUUGGGCAGCUUCUGGACUGAAAUACAGAAUUGCUGCAUCCGGAUUGGGUCAAAGCCUGUGGUUGGGAGAACAUGCCUGCACAAGGAAAACUGACCCCACAGGACGAAAGUCCUUGACACGAACUGAUCUGCCGAAAGGGGAAGAAUGGGUCUAGCUAGAAUCUAGGACUAACCGGCCGGUGAGCUUUGAGGAACAAAGGGCUUUCCGCUGGGUCAGCCCACAAGAGGGAGCUGCCUGCAGGUGCCCGGGAGGGCACGGCCACCCUCUCUGUCCGUUGGGAGCAGAACUCCUUGGAAGGCAGCACCAGCUCCAGAAAGGUCACCGUCCCCCCGUCCUGCCCACUGCAGGUGGCAACUGCCUCUGCAGGUCACAGUCCCAGAGCGUGGCUCGGCCGACCUGGAGGAGAAAAGGGAAGAUGCCCGAUUAGCUGGAGGCCCAUGGCCUCAGGGCUGGGGGACCGUGGGUCAUCCCGAAAGAAGGACAAUGACCGCCUGGAAAGGACGAUUUCGGGUGGAGCCUGGAGGAGGCGGCCAAUAGCUCAGUCCGCACUCAACUCCCUUCCCAGCCGUCUGAUGGAAGGCGAGGAGCUAAAGCUCAUGCUGCUGAGGCCUGGGGUCUCCCAGGCACCAGCCUCCACAUGCCCAGCAGAGACAGCAGCCGCCUAACUGCAGGAGUGUGCCCCGACAUGCUCCUGCGGACGUUCCUUCUAAUGGUAGACGUGGUCCCCACUGGGGCAAGGCUGCAGUUUUCUUUUAAAAAAACAUCUUUCAAAAUAAAAGGGGCCUUGAAGAAAA